AGGAGAGUUUGAUCCUGGCUCAGGAUGAACGCUGGCGGCGUGCUUAACACAUGCAAGUCGAACGGGGUUUAAGAAGGAAGCUUGCUUUCAUUUUAAACCUAGUGGCGGACGGGUGAGUAACGCGUGAGGAACCUGCCCUUCAGUGGGGAACAACAACUAGAAAUGGUUGCUAAUACCGCAUAAUGUCGGAGAGCCGCAUGACAUUCCGACCAAAGGAUUUAUUCGCUGAAGGAUGGCCUCGCGUCCGAUUAGAUAGUUGGUGAGGUAACGGCCCACCAAGUCUACGAUCGGUAGCCGAACUGAGAGGUUGAUCGGCCACAUUGGGACUGAGACACGGCCCAGACUCCUACGGGAGGCAGCAGUGGGGAAUAUUGGGCAAUGGGCGAAAGCCUGACCCAGCAACGCCGCGUGAAGGAUGACGGUCUUCGGAUUGUAAACUUCUUUAAUUGGGGAAGAACAAAAUGACCUACCCAAAGAAUAAGUCACGGCUAACUACGUGCCAGCAGCCGCGGUAAUACGUAGGUGACAAGCGUUAUCCGGAUUUACUGGGCGUAAAGGGCGUGUAGGCGGUCUUGCAAGUCAGAAGUGAAAUUCCUGAGCUCAACUCGGGCGCUGCUUCUGAAACUGCAGGACUUGAGUGCUGGAGGGGAUAGCGGAAUUCCUAGUGGAGCGGUAAAAUGCGCAGAUAUUAGGAAGAACACCGGUGGCGAAGGCGGCUAUCUGGACAGUAACUGACGCUGAGGCGCGAAAGCGUGGGGAGCAAACAGGAUUAGAUACCCUGGUAGUCCCCU
Molecule: ribosomal RNA, 791 nt
Filed under: uncultured Bacillota bacterium
Lineage: Bacteria; Bacillati; Bacillota
Description: bacterial SSU rRNA
Rfam family: Bacterial small subunit ribosomal RNA
Source: RNAcentral